GGAAAUGUUAUGCUGAAGUACUGAAAUUCCCAAGAAACAAAUGGUUCUCAGAAUGUUUUGUGCUAUAUGGGUAUCCUGCAGUAUUCCCAGAACAUGGUGGGAAGGUUGUAUGAAAAACCACUCGCCAGGCUCUAAGAAACAUGGUUCUCAGAACAUUAUACGCUAGCUGGGAAAUCAGCACACCUAGUUUUAAGGGCCGGCUGGAGAGUUCAAAGAAAACAGGGAAGAACACCAAGUCUUACUACUCAAAGACAAAGGAAAAAGAAAACCGAAAGGAAUGGAGAAGGAAACUGAAAAAAAGAGGCACCGAUUCACCCCUGGAGAUGAGGAUCUUAUUAUUUCAGGGGUACUUGGGCACUGGGAGGACCUCUUCGGCGCCCAGGCCCACAUUCGCCCCCGGGGGUCAAAGACUGCAACCUGGAACACCAUCGCUGGGACCUUGACCUCGGCUGUGGCGAGAUGUGGUGACGAUGUCCGGAAGAAAUACAAUCUCAUAAGGAGCCAAAUCAAGCAAAAGGUUUCUUCUAUCCGGACAUGGUCCACCCAGACUGGUGGGGGGCCCAACACCGUGCCGGCGCUGACCGACCUGGAGCAGCAACUUUUCUCCCGAAUGGCAGAGACCGAAGCUGGUGUAGGGCCUGUUGAUUUGGGAUUUGGUCUCUCUCAGGGAGAAAUCUCCAGCUCUGGUCCCCCACCAGCAGCAGAGGGAACUGUGGAGGCAGCUUUACCCUCUGUCACCAUGGAGGAGCUACCCUCCACCUCACCAUCAACACCUUGGCCAGCACCAACAGUGCCACCCCAACCCAUCACCUCCCGUCCUGCACCAGCUCACUCAAUCCACUCUCAAUCAAUGAAUCAAAUUUAUUUUAUAAAGCCCUUUUUACAUCAGCAGUUGUCACAAAGUGCUUUACAGAUACCCAGCCUGAAACCCCAAAUAGCAAGCAAUGCAGAUGCACUCUCUGGCACCGCACCCCAACCCAUCACCUCCUGUCCUGCACCAGCUCAUUCCAUCCACUCUGGCUUUGCUCCCCAACCCAUCACCUCCUGUCCUGCACCAGCUCAUUCCAUCCACUCUGGCUUUGCUCCCCAACCCAUUACCUCCUGUCCUGCACCAGCUCAUUCCAUCCACUCUGGCUUUGCUCCCCAACCCAUCACCUCCUGUCCUGCACCAGCUCAUUCCAUCCACUCUGGCUUUGCUCCCCAACCCAUCACCUCCUGUCCUGCACCAGCUCACUCCAUCCACUCUGACUCUACACCCCAACCCAUCACGUCUGGCUGGACACCACAAGGCCCCCAAGCCAAUCUGCUCCAACAAAUCCUGGAGACACAAACGCAACAAAUCCAUGUUACACAGACCGCCCAGCACAUCCACCAAGCUCUUUAUGAUUUAUUAGAAAAAGCACAUGAAACACAGAAGGCACACCUGGAUGUGGAGAAGAACCGGCUCCAGCUGGAUAGAGAGCGCUUGAGGGUGGAGACAGAGCGCCUGCAGGUGGAGAGGGAGCGCCUCAAGAUGGAGAAGGAUCGCCUGGGGGAAGGGGAGGCGCUUCGGCAGCUCUCUGUCUCUGGGUCAGUCGCCCUAGAACACCAGACGCCUGUGAGUUCAAGAACUGUCAGUGCCUCCCCCACCCUUCCUCUGGGAACACCAUCAGCCUCCAUGUCCAGUCCCCUCACAUUAAUAUCACCUACUGCACCACACUUUGAUUUCUUAUUUUCCCCAUUCCCAUUACCGGUAAUCACAACCCAUUCCACCCAGCCAUCACAAACCAGCCCUGCCUCAACCUCCCCUGACUUAACCAGCCCUGCCCCAACCUCCCCUACCUUAAAAAUUCCUGCCUCAACCUCUCCUACCUUAACCAGCCCUGCCCCAACCUCUCCUACCUUAACCGUUUCUGCCCACUCUCUCAUCCCUCCAAUCUCCGGAUCUGUUAAACGGCGAGUUCAGGAGACAGUCCGGCCUUGGCCUGGACCCACUGCCAAGAAUACAAAACACCAAUAAACAAAUGUAAUAAAAUACAA
Molecule: long non-coding RNA, 2019 nt
Organism: Oncorhynchus tshawytscha (Chinook salmon)
Lineage: Eukaryota; Metazoa; Chordata; Actinopteri; Salmoniformes; Salmonidae
Source: Ensembl